Long non-coding RNA from Lutra lutra (Eurasian river otter), 1985 nucleotides. RefSeq lists it as uncharacterized. The record is from RefSeq and is a predicted model, not a curated record. NCBI's taxonomy places the organism in Eukaryota, Metazoa, Chordata, Mammalia, Carnivora, Mustelidae. The transcript has 3 exons.
GCGGCGCCUGAGCGCCAGAAGGCCGCGUGGCCGGCGCGGGUGGAAUGUAAACACCGCAGACGGCGAGAGUUCGGGCUUGGGCGGGGGUCUGGCAGGGGUCUGGCAGGAGCAAGCGGAAAGGAGACGAAGAAACAGCAGCCAGGUGUCAGCCACCUCAGCUUCAAAAUGAGCCUUUCUCCUCAAUAAAGCAGAACACGUGAUAGUAAGGGUAUGAAGGUUGAACCAAGCAUCUUGUCUUCAAGAUGCUCAGAUCCGGUGGAAGAGAAGAGAAGCCCGUCCUCCGUUACCAAGCAGCGGGAGCAAUGCAGGCAGAGGAAGCACCUGGCGGCAGAGGUCCUCAUCCAUCCCAGGGAGAGGAGAGGGCCAGGAAGAGAAGGGUCACCGAAACUGCCUUUGCCAAAGACACCAGUGCCCCCCAUCUCACCAGCUCCCCUGGGCUCUCUUCAGGGUUCUUUUCCUGGCCCUGUCAGGAGUGCUGGCCAUGGUGGCCCCAUCCCUGUUCCCGAGGACACCACUACAGUCUCCUGGUUGGUCCUCUUCCUCCUUUACCUCCACUUAAGUGAUGGACUGAUUUGUCCACAUGCCCUCCUCCCUUAAGUGGUCUUUUCUUUCUACUUUCUGCCCACUUGACAUAUCUAUUUGCCCGUCUUUUGGACCUCUCGGCAUAAGACGCCCAAUGGUGGAUUCUGGGUUCCCCAGCCUGUCCCACUGGCCUCUCCACUGGGGCCGCUAUUCACUCAGUUGCUCAAGGCACAAACCCGGUUCUUGUUGCUUUCUCCCUCUCCUCAUCCUCUGUACUGCGUGUAUCAGCAAGGCCCAGACUCUCUGCCCUCCAGAUAUUUCCAAUCUGUCUCUUGUCCCUUCUCUGUCCCGCCCUGGAGGGAGCCACAGUCUGCUGCACAGGUGUAUCCCGUCCUGAACUGUGUUCCCACUGUCGCAGGCUCUUCCCCCACCAGAAUGCCUUUGUCACCAAACAGCCGGAAUCAUCUCUUUUCCCUAAAAGAUAACUGACUUGCGUGAGUCCAAUCAAACCUUCCCCUUCUGGAAACCAUUUGACAGCUUCGCGCUGAUCGCAAAUAGUCACAUUGCCCGAGUGCCAGGCCCUGCCCGAUGCGGCUUCUGCCGCAGCCCUCUGGUCCUGGGGUCCUGGGCACGUACCCUCCACUCUCUGGGCUCCAGCUUUUCUCUGACACGCUGUGGGCUCAGCUUCUGGGGUGUGUUUGCACCUGUUCACCGGCUCCCUGCUCCCCCUCCUUCUCAGGAGCCAACUCAGGCUACAGGGGCUCCUCCCCGAGGAGGCCUUGCCAGCCACCUGCCUGCAUCAGGGUCUCCCUGGCAGGGCUCGCUGCUUUCUCUCAGCAGCCUGAUUUGUUUUUUUGUUUUGUUUUGUUUUCUUUUUUAACUAUAAACAUGUCAAACAUACACUGGAGAAAUGAUAGUACACCUCAUAUACUUAUCCUACAGAUUUAAUACUAAAGAUUUUGUCCUAUUUGUUUCACGGACCUUGUGGCUCUCUUUUUUUUUUCUUUGCUAAAAGAUUUUAAGGCAGAUUCCAAACAUUAUCAUUUCAUUUUUACAUGUCUGAGUAUGCAUCUCUAAAAGUGUGGCCAUAUUCUUCCGUAACCACAAUGCCAGUAGGACACCUAACAGAAUGAACAAGUCUUGGUAGCAUUUAAUACUCAAUCUACAGUCACAUUUUCCAGUUGUCUCCAACGUGUCUUUUAACCACUGGUGUGAAUGACACUCUGAACAGGCUCCCCACACCGCAUCUGCCUACCGUGUCCUUCGCUCUUCACUCUGGAGUAGCUCUUCGGUUCCACAUUUGCUGCAGAAGGCAGCUCAGUCUCCUGCGGAAUCACUUCGCUUCCUGCAUUUGUCCCUUUUGUUUCUCCACGGAGUCGUGUGACUCGUUCCUCUCUCCCCUGUAGUCCUGUACGCGGAAGCCAGCUCUCCUAGCUGAUUAGGUUCAUGUCCGUCAGUGAUGC